This 74-nucleotide transfer RNA is filed under the name Pelodictyon luteolum DSM 273. Its description in RNAcentral is "Chlorobium luteolum DSM 273 tRNA". It matches the Rfam family "tRNA". From Rfam's summary of the family: Transfer RNA (tRNA) molecules are approximately 80 nucleotides in length. Their secondary structure includes four short double-helical elements and three loops (D, anti-codon, and T loops). Lineage: Bacteria; Pseudomonadati; Chlorobiota; Chlorobiia; Chlorobiales; Chlorobiaceae. The record is from Rfam by way of RNAcentral.
GAAUGCGUAGCUCAGCUGGUUAGAGCAUCUGCCUUUUAAGCAGAGGGUCGCAGGUUCGAAUCCUGCCGCAUUCA